UCCAUGGCUCCAAGGAGGAUGAGGAUGGC
Molecule: non-coding RNA, 29 nt
Filed under: Homo sapiens (human)
Lineage: Eukaryota; Metazoa; Chordata; Mammalia; Primates; Hominidae
Source: RNAcentral